Molecule: ribosomal RNA, 433 nt
Filed under: uncultured bacterium
Lineage: Bacteria
Description: partial 16S ribosomal RNA
Rfam family: Bacterial small subunit ribosomal RNA
Source: RNAcentral
AACGAACGCUGGCGGCAUGCCUAACACAUGCAAGUCGAACGAGACCUUCGGGUUUAGUGGCGCACGGGUGCGUAACGCGUGGGAACCUGCCCUUAGGUUCGGAAUAACUCCCCGAAUGGGGUGCUAAUACCGGAUAAUGUCUUCGGACCAAAGAUUUAUCGCCUUUGGAUGGGCCCGCGUUGGAUUAGCUAGUUGUUAGGGUAAAAGCCUACCAAGGCUACGAUCCAUAGCUGGUCUGAGAGGCUGAUCAGCCACACUGGGACUGAGACACGGCCCAGACUACUACGGGAGGCAGCAGUGGGGAAUAUUGGAAAAUGGGCGAAAGCCUGAUCCAGCAAUGCCGCGUGAGUGAUGAAGGCCUUAGGGUUGUAAAGCUCUUUUACCCGGGAUGAUAAUGACAGUACCGGGAGAAUAAGCUCCGGCUAACUCCGUG